This 1554-nucleotide unclassified non-coding RNA is filed under the name Patiria miniata (bat star). RNAcentral's name for it is "cholinephosphotransferase 1-like, transcript variant X3". The record is from RNAcentral. Lineage: Eukaryota; Metazoa; Echinodermata; Asteroidea; Valvatida; Asterinidae.
CAUGUGUACACAUGGAAGUCACGGUCACACACAGUCACCAUCAGUAGCGUGUAGCGCGUACACACUCUAUUCAUUCCCUCCAAAGCCAAAUGGACUUUAUAUUUGUAGUUACAGCUACGGGAUAACACUGGCUUACGAAACAUGUUAAAUACUAUUGAUGUGAUCUUACGGUAUUGAGGAGUUUUUACAUCAACUAAAAAGUGGAACCACAUGUCAUUGUUCAUUCAAAUGAGAACCACGUUAUUGGCCUUGAUAUAUGUUACAUGUAGUACACAUCGGAAUAUUGCAAUCUCACUCACUACAGGAAAUAAUUUCGUUUGGAAAAUACAUUACUUUGGAAUAUAUUCUGAGAAGAAUUGAUUGGAACUGGUCUAAAGUCCAUGCCCACCCAUGGUUGUUCUUUCAAACUCUACUAAACUUGCAGCAAUCUACAAAUCGAGGCAAGAUGAAAAGGGGCAGGGUGUUAACCCCGAAGCAGAUGGAACGGGUGAGGGACCACCGGUACGUGGUGGAAGGGAGAACCCUUCUGGAUCCUAUCAUGCAAGUGUUGUGGUGUCGGCUGUUUAGUAUGAUCCCACCAAGAAUCAACUGCAAUGUCAUCACCAUGGUUGGCUUAGCACUCAAUAUGACCAGCUUUACAAUCCUUAUGUGUUACUCCCCCACCGCGACCGAUGAGGUUCCAUUGUGGGCGUGUGCACUGGCCUCGGUAACCAUGUUCCUGUAUCAGAUCUGCGAUGCUUUGGAUGGGAAGCAGUGUUUGCGCGGACUAGCCAACAAAAAGGACUGGCAUAUUGCGGAGAUAGUUGACCACGCGAGCGACUCUGUCUCCACAGUCUUUGUGACCAUCCAGUUAGCAAUCUGCAUGCGGAUUGGUGAACGGCCUGAGCUAUUUUUGACACUGAUGCUUACGGCGAUGUUCAUGUUCUUCACAGCGCACUGGCAGACUUACAUCUCCGGAGUGGUCAGAUUUGGAACACUAGACGUGACAGAGUCGGAGCUCGCACUUUGCUUUGGUUACCUGUUAACAGCGAUCAUUGGACAACAGUUCUGGGCCCAAAAGGUGUAUGGGGUGGAGUGGAGAGAGGCUGUGGUGAUUUCUUCAGCAGUGAUGGCCGUCAUCAAGUUGGUCAACCAUGCCAUAUUCAUCUGGAGACGAGGUUACAGGCUAACCGUGGCGGGCACAAGUGUGUUUUCGCCGUUUCUGAGCAUCGCCAUGGUCUUCGUUUUGGCUAUCAUUACCAAGGAGAUGACAGACUUAUGUGACUAUCAGCCAUGCAUCUUUUUCAUCGUGUUUGGACUGCUGGAAGCAAAGAUGUCCAACAAACUCAUGCCCUGUACCUGGAGUGGCUUGUAGCCUCGUUCAGGGCAACAUCGUUCCGAGGGUGUCGAUCAGUACGUUCCUACCACUACCUGCUCUCUAACCCUGGUAGCUUACAUGACCAAGUCCAAGUUUACUCCGAUGGACUCCAUUUUUCUUGGCCCGCUGGUUCUUCUAGCAAACCAGCUCUUGAAUAAUCCACUGUCAAGCCAUUUGCUACUUUGGGCCGUCGUGGU